AUUAUUCCUAAUCCUUUUGGCUAAGAUCAAGUGUAGUAUCUGUUCUUAUCAGUUUAAUAUUAUUCCUAAUUAAAGCAACAGAGCUUGUUUUUCUGUAUGUUUGUUUUAUGGUGCAAUAGUUUCCUUUUUCAGUUACAGUUGCUUUUCCCCUCAGGGCAAACUUGCAGUGCCUACCAGCA
RNAcentral lists this small nuclear RNA (179 nucleotides) under Xenopus laevis (African clawed frog). RNAcentral describes it as "U2 spliceosomal RNA". It matches the Rfam family "U2 spliceosomal RNA". Rfam says of the family: U2 is a small nuclear RNA (snRNA) component of the spliceosome (involved in pre-mRNA splicing). Complementary binding between U2 snRNA (in an area lying towards the 5' end but 3' to hairpin I) and the branchpoint sequence (BPS) of the intron results the bulging out of an unpaired adenosine, on the BPS, which initiates a nucleophilic attack at the intronic 5' splice site, thus starting the first of two transesterification reactions that mediate splicing. The record is from Rfam by way of RNAcentral. Lineage: Eukaryota; Metazoa; Chordata; Amphibia; Anura; Pipidae.